CCUACGGGAGGCAGCAGUGGGGAAUAUUGCACAAUGGGGGAAACCCUGAUGCAGCGACGCCGCGUGAGUGAAGAAGUAUUUCGGUACGUAAAGCUCUAUCAGCAGGGAAGAAAAUGACGGUACCUGACUAAGAAGCCCCGGCUGACUACGUGCCAGCAGCCGCGGUAAUACGUAGGGGGCAAGCGUUAUCCGGAUUUACUUGGUGUAAAGGGAGCGUAGACGGCAGCGCAAGUCUGGAGGGAAACCACAUGGCUUAACCAUGGAACUGCUUUGGAAACUGUGCAGCUAGAGUGCAGGAGAGGGAAGCGGAAUUCCUAGUGUAGCGGUGAAAUGCGUAGAUAUUAGGAGGAACACCAGUGGCGAAGGCGGCUUACUGGACUGUAACUGACGUUGAGGCUCGAAAGCGUGGGGAGCAAACAGGAUUAGAUACCCGGGUAGUC
Molecule: ribosomal RNA, 440 nt
Filed under: uncultured bacterium
Lineage: Bacteria
Description: partial 16S ribosomal RNA
Rfam family: Bacterial small subunit ribosomal RNA
Source: RNAcentral